Molecule: ribosomal RNA, 557 nt
Filed under: uncultured bacterium
Lineage: Bacteria
Description: bacterial SSU rRNA
Rfam family: Bacterial small subunit ribosomal RNA
Source: RNAcentral
ACGGGUGAGUAACGCGUGGGAAUCUACCCAUCUCUACGGAACAACUCCGGGAAACUGGAACUAAUACCGUAUACGUCCUCUUGGAGAAAGAUUUAUCGGAGAUGGAUGAGCCCGCGUUGGAUUAGCUAGUUGGUGGGGUAAUGGCCUACCAAGGCGACGAUCCAUAGCUGGUCUGAGAGGAUGAUCAGCCACACUGGGACUGAGACACGGCCCAGACUCCUACGGGAGGCAGCAGUGGGGAAUAUUGGACAAUGGGCGCAAGCCUGAUCCAGCCAUGCCGCGUGAGUGAUGAAGGCCCUAGGGUUGUAAAGCUCUUUCAACGGUGAAGAUAAUGACGGUAACCGUAGAAGAAGCCCCGGCUAACUUCGUGCCAGCAGCCGCGGUAAUACGAAGGGGGCUAGCGUUGUUCGGAAUUACUGGGCGUAAAGCGCACGUAGGCGGAUACUUAAGUCAGGGGUGAAAUCCCGGGGCUCAACCCCGGAACUGCCUUUGAUACUGGGUAUCUCGAGUCCGGAAGAGGUGAGUGGAAUUCCGAGUGUAGAGGUGAAAUUCGUAGA